This is a long non-coding RNA of Ziziphus jujuba (common jujube), 568 nucleotides long. RefSeq lists it as uncharacterized. Lineage: Eukaryota; Viridiplantae; Streptophyta; Magnoliopsida; Rosales; Rhamnaceae. The record is from RefSeq and is a predicted model, not a curated record. The transcript has 4 exons.
AGAGAAUGGCGAAACAGCUACCGGAGAGUUCUUUAGGAAGAAGGACUAGUGGAGGAAGCAUCCUAGGCUCAGCAAUAAGCUUCACCAUGCCCUUCUUGGUCGUGGCCCUCGGAGUCGCCACCUUUGACGUCUACCUGGUCGCAACUAAGUGUACCAUUUAAGAGAUCAAAUUCAUCAGCACCGUCGCCGAUUUUUGGUGCACGCUCCGAAUUCGAAUCUACGAGACUGAAAAUGAUGCUGAAUUUUGUAAAAUCUCUCACUGACCAAUGAGUUACAGAAGGUAAUCUUUAUAUUUGGUUGCAAAAUAUUUUGAUGCUACCAUUGAAAAGGGAGCAGAUGUGAAAUCGGCUACCAACUGGAUUAUGGGUGAUAUUGCUGCCUAUAUGAAAAAUGAAAAGUUGACUAUUGAUGAGAUUAAGCUGACGCCUUAGGAGUUGGCUGAGUUGAUAGCUUCAAUACAAGCUGGUAUUAUUAGUGGGAAAAUUGGAAAAGAGAUAUUGUUUAAGCUAUUGGUCAAAGGUGGAACUGUCAAGGGACUCAUAGAAGAAAAGGAUUUGGUUCAGGCAAG